GAUGAACGCUGGCGGCGUGCCUAAUACAUGCAAGUCGAGCGAAUGGAUUAAGAGCUUGCUCUUAUGAAGUUAGCGGCGGACGGGUGAGUAACACGUGGGUAACCUGCCCAUAAGACUGGGAUAACUCCGGGAAACCGGGGCUAAUACCGGAUAACAUUUUGAACCGCAUGGUUCGAAAUUGAAAGGCGGCUUCGGCUGUCACUUAUGGAUGGACCCGCGUCGCAUUAGCUAGUUGGUGAGGUAACGGCUCACCAAGGCAACGAUGCGUAGCCGACCGUGGAGGGUGAUCGGCCACACUGGGGCUGGGACACGGCCCAGACUCCUACGGGAGGCAGCAGUAGGGAAUCUUCCGCAAUGGACGAAAGUCUGACGGAGCAACGCCGCGUGAGUGAUGAAGGCUUUCGGGUCGUAAAACUCUGUUGUUAGGGAAGAACAAGUGCUAGUUGAAUAAGCUGGCACCUUGACGGUACCUAACCAGAAAGCCACGGCUAACUACGUGCCAGCCGCCGCGGUAA
Molecule: ribosomal RNA, 515 nt
Filed under: uncultured bacterium
Lineage: Bacteria
Description: partial 16S ribosomal RNA
Rfam family: Bacterial small subunit ribosomal RNA
Source: RNAcentral